CUUUAGCCCCGAUUGUAGUGGAAAUCCUUGUUUGCCGGGGUUCGGCAAACAAGAUUGCAACGUAAAGCGGGACCCAUC
Non-coding RNA from Flavobacterium sp., 78 nucleotides. The record is from Rfam. NCBI's taxonomy places the organism in Bacteria, Pseudomonadati, Bacteroidota, Flavobacteriia, Flavobacteriales, Flavobacteriaceae.